This 180-nucleotide ribosomal RNA is filed under the name uncultured Glomeromycotina. Its description in RNAcentral is "partial small subunit ribosomal RNA". Lineage: Eukaryota; Fungi; Glomeromycota. The record is from RNAcentral.
GGCCUGGCUGGACGGUCUGCCUCACGGUACGUACUGUCUGGCUGGGUCUUACCUCUUGGUGAGCCGGCAUGCCCUUCGCUGGGUGUGUCGGGGAACCAGGACUUUUACCUUGAGAAAAUUAGAGUGUUCAAAGCAGCCAAAAAAGGAGGCAUGAAUACUACAGCAUGGGAUAACGGAAUA